This 783-nucleotide long non-coding RNA is filed under the name Trifolium pratense (red clover). Its description in RNAcentral is "long non-coding RNA (TPRA_LNC002771)". The record is from RNAcentral. Lineage: Eukaryota; Viridiplantae; Streptophyta; Magnoliopsida; Fabales; Fabaceae.
AGAGGAACUAGUAGCUUCAAGUGAACAUUGAAAGUAGAACUAAAACUAAAGACAUGGAAGACUUGGUUAUGAUAAAGCAUGUCAUCAAAUAUAGCAACACACGGAGUCAAUUUAGAUAAACUUAUAAGGAUAUUUUUCUUCAGCAAAUAAACACAGACCUAGGGCCUGGAUUGGCUUAUUUGAAUUUAUCUACUGUCAUAAGUUUUGUGAAAUUGUUUGGCAAAAUUUAUAAAGACAGCUUAUGACAUUUGUCAUAAGUUUUUUUCAGCUUAUUUUUAUAUGUUCUCCAAGAUAGCUUAUGCAAAGAGCUUAUAGCAUAUACAAAAAGAAAAAAUUAAAUUUUAUCAGAUGCUGGGAUUGACUUAUUUUUUAGUUUAUGAAAAAUAACUUAUGCAUAAGCUUUUAUGUAUUAUUAUAAGGUUGUUAAGGUAGUUUAUGAAAAAACAACUUACGAAAGAUACAAUUUUUGUUUUUUUUUUUUUUAAGAAGCUAAAUUAGCCCACCCAAAUUUUUUUUGAAGAUACAUUUUUUGUUGGUGAGAACUUGAAUUUGUAUUCUGAAGGUUAGGGAUUCAGCUAAAACUAAACACAAACUUAGGACCUGUUUGGAUUGACUUAUUUGAGUUUAUCUACUGCCAUAAGUUUCGUGAGUUUGUUAGGAAAAAUUUAUAAAAACAGCUUAUGACAUUUUUCAUAAGCUUUUUUCAGCUUAUUUUUAUAAGUUCUCCAAGACAGCUUAUUGAAACAGCUUAUAGCAUAUACUACAAAAACAACUUAAUUUUAU